RNAcentral lists this ribosomal RNA (427 nucleotides) under uncultured bacterium. Its description in RNAcentral is "partial 16S ribosomal RNA". It matches the Rfam family "Bacterial small subunit ribosomal RNA", at positions 355 to 774 of the family's 1533-position model. The record is from RNAcentral.
UGGGGAAUAUUGGACAAUGGGCGAAAGCCUGAUCCAGCCAUGCCGCGUGUGUGAAGAAGGUCUUCGGAUUGUAAAGCACUUUAAGUUGGGAGGAAGGGCAUUAACCUAAUACGUUAGUGUUUUGACGUUACCGACAGAAUAAGCACCGGCUAACUCUGUGCCAGCAGCAGCGGAAAUACAGAGGGUGCAAGCGUUAAUCGGAAUUACUGGGCGUAAAGCGCGCGUAGGUGGUUUGUUAAGUUGGAUGUGAAAUCCCCGGGCUCAACCUGGGAACUGCAUUCAAAACUGACUGACUAGAGUAUGGUAGAGGGUGGUGGAAUUUCCUGUGUAGCGGUGAAAUGCGUAGAUAUAGGAAGGAACACCAGUGGCGAAGGCGACCACCUGGACUAAUACUGACACUGAGGUGCGAAAGCGUGGGGAGCAAACA